This is a long non-coding RNA of Hydra vulgaris (swiftwater hydra), 1067 nucleotides long. RefSeq lists it as uncharacterized. The record is from RefSeq and is a predicted model, not a curated record. Lineage: Eukaryota; Metazoa; Cnidaria; Hydrozoa; Anthoathecata; Hydridae.
CCUUCAAAUUGUUUUUAAAGUUUUUUUUAACUUGCUUUUUAAAGUCUAUAAUAGUUAUAAUAUAUAAUGAAAUACUAAUUGUUAAUAAUGAAACUAAAUGAACAACUAAUUUUUGUUCGUUGUCAUUUGAUUUCCUAAAACAAAAAUGUCUUCACAAGUUUAGUGUCAACAACCUUUACUAAAACCGCAUCUCAAAAUUCUACAAUUUCCUCUUAAUUUAUCUACAUUGUAAUAGUAAGUUUUUCAACAGUGAAUACUUUACAAUAGUGAACGCUUAUCUGUAACAACAUACAGCAUACUACCGUUAGAGGAUUGUGAUUGACAUUUCAAAGUGUGGGUCGGUCUUUUAUAAAUGGCAACAAGUAAUUUGUUUUUAAAGAAAUCAGUUUUACUUAAAUACUAAAGAGGUUCACACAAAAUUUUAAGAGAUAUGACUCUGAAACUCGCUUUUGUUUUGUUUUUCUUUCACAUCAACGGUAUGCUCAAAUCCUUUCCAGUUUUUACCGGCAAAAGUAACGACUGCUUGACUGUGCCGUAUAAUGUAACAGUUACCACAAAGGGGUGUGAUGAUUAUAUAUUACUGAGCAGCAUGUGCACAGGCUUUUGCACUUCGUUGUACAAGUAUGAUCCGAUUUUGGAAAAAAAAGAAUCAAUAUGUGUAGUAUGCAAACCAGUUACAUCGCAAAAAAAAAUUUUUCUAACUUGUGCAGGAGAAGUAAAGAUAAAACAGGUUGAAGUGUAUGACGUUUGUCAGUGUGAAACUUGCAUUUCCAACAAAAACUAAGUUUGUAUUCCAACUUUGAAUUGGUAUUAAUAUAAGGAGGAAGAAUCAGAUAAGUCUUUAUAGCAUCAAUUUCUUUAUCAGUUUUUUUUAGAAAGCUAUAAAGAAAAAUGAAAAAGAAAACUAUCAAAAUGGCGCAACGCUCUUACACCCAAUUCUGUAAAUAUACAAAUAUGCUUGCAUGUAUAUAUUAACAUAUAUGUUAUGUAAAAUAAUGGUUUUUUUACGUAAUACAGUUUUAACAUUAAGAUUCGAGUUGAAAAAAAUAUAUUAAUAUUUAUGUUAA